AUUGAACGCUGGCGGCAGGCCUAACACAUGCAAGUCGAGCGGAUGAAGGGAGCUUGCUCCUGGAUUCAGCGGCGGACGGGUGAGUAAUGCCUAGGAAUCUGCCUGGUAGUGGGGGAUAACGUCCGGAAACGGGCGCUAAUACCGCAUAUGUCCUGAGGGAGCAAGUGGGGGAUCUUCGGACCUCACGCUAUCAGAUGAGCCUAGGUCGGAUUAGCUAGUUGGUGGGGUAAAGGCCUACCAAGGCGACUAUCCGUAACUGGUCUGAGAGGAUGAUCAGUCACACUGGAUGUGAGACAGGGUCGAGACUCCUAGGGUGGGCCGCGGUGGGGACUAUUGGACGAUGGGCGAAUGGCUGAUCCAGCCAUGCCGCGUGUGUGAAGAAGGUCUUCGGAUUGUAAAGCACUUUAAGUUGGGAGGAAGGGCAGUAAGUUAAUACCUGGCUGUUUUGACGUUACCGACAGAAUAAGCACCGGCUAACUUCGUG
RNAcentral lists this ribosomal RNA (484 nucleotides) under uncultured bacterium. Its description in RNAcentral is "partial 16S ribosomal RNA". It matches the Rfam family "Bacterial small subunit ribosomal RNA", at positions 30 to 507 of the family's 1533-position model. The record is from RNAcentral.